GCUGUGAUGAACAAACGGCAUUGAUCAUAUCUUGAACUGAUAAAGCCAUUUUGUCCUCUAAGAAGUUCUGAGCUU
Molecule: non-coding RNA, 75 nt
Organism: Xenopus laevis (African clawed frog)
Lineage: Eukaryota; Metazoa; Chordata; Amphibia; Anura; Pipidae
Source: Rfam